RNAcentral lists this ribosomal RNA (355 nucleotides) under uncultured bacterium. RNAcentral's name for it is "partial 16S ribosomal RNA". It matches the Rfam family "Bacterial small subunit ribosomal RNA", at positions 338 to 690 of the family's 1533-position model. The record is from RNAcentral.
CCUACGGGGGGCAGCAGUGAGGAAUAUUGGUCAAUGGGCGAGAGUCUGAACCAGCCAUGUAGCGUGCAGGAAGACGGCCCUACGAGUUGUAAACUGCUUUUGUACAAGGGUAAACUUGAACACGUGUAUUCAUCUGAAAGUACUGUACGAAUAAGGAUCGGCUAACUCCGUGCCAGCAGCCGCGGUAAUACGGAGGAUCCAAGCGUUAUCCGGAUUUAUUGGGUUUAAAGGGUGCGUAGGGGGGUUGAUAAGUUAGUGGUGAAAUGUUCGAGCUUAACUCGGGAAUUGCCUCUAAUACGGUUGAUCUAGGGAGUGGAUGCGGUAGGCGGAAUGUAUGGUGUAGCGGUGAAAUGCU